Passer domesticus (house sparrow) is the source of this 403-nucleotide long non-coding RNA. RefSeq lists it as uncharacterized. The record is from RefSeq and is a predicted model, not a curated record. The transcript has 2 exons. NCBI's taxonomy places the organism in Eukaryota, Metazoa, Chordata, Aves, Passeriformes, Passeridae.
AUUCAUAGACCACUAGGGGAUAUAAGGUAAUUAGAAACGGCCCUAUAGCAUCCAGCCUGAAAAUGUAAUGCCAGCGGUAGGAGUGGUGGAGGGCUCUGGCUGCGGGCGGCUCCGGCAGAAAGUGCUCGCUGGAGCUGGGGACCGAGGAUGGUAAAUCAAGCUGGGACCUCAUGGCUCUCCAGGGACUUGGUGUUAUUCCCUGUAAUCGCCAAUCUGCCCUGCCCUUCACACUCAAGAGCCUGGCACUGUUUGGCAUCACAAGCCGUGACUGCCACCCUAGGAAAGCCAAGGUGGGAUGGACCCAAAGGACGUCACCCCCAGCUUCUCCUCUGGGAUUGACAGAAGACUAAAGGAUUUGUUAUUUUUACACUACAAUCCAAUAAAUUCAACAAUCUGGUCUGUC